GAUCAUGGCUCAGGACGAACGCUGGCGGCACGCCUAACACAUGCAAGUCGAACGAGAGAAGAGAAGCCUGCUUUUCUGAUCUAGUGGCGGACGGGUGAGUAACACGUGAGCAAUCUGCCUUUCAGAGGGGGAUACCGAUUGGAAACGAUCGUUAAUACCGCAUAAUAUAAUUGAACCGCAUGAUUUGAUUAUCAAAGAUUUAUCGCUGAAAGAUGAGCUCGCGU
RNAcentral lists this ribosomal RNA (224 nucleotides) under uncultured bacterium. RNAcentral's name for it is "partial 16S ribosomal RNA". It matches the Rfam family "Bacterial small subunit ribosomal RNA", at positions 15 to 236 of the family's 1533-position model. The record is from RNAcentral.